GCCUGUAUAAUCAAAGCACAAGCAUUUGAGCUAACAGCAUUGUCAGAAAUUCAGGGAAGUCAAUUGUACCGUUACCGUCCGCAUCUACUUCACUAAUCAUGUCCUGCAACGCUGCUUCUGUGGGAUUCCGCCCUAGAGACCUCACUACAGUUCCCAGCUCCUUUGUUGUUACAGUUCUGUCACCAUCCUUGUCACAUAGCGGAAAAGCUUCUUUGAAUUCUGCAAUCCGCUCUUCAGUCAGUUGGUCAGCCAUGCUGCAAGCGCUACUCGUUUCGGAGACGCAAACACCGAGCUGCCUACCAGUUCCUCUAUUAAACAUUCUAAGAAAUCA
This is a long non-coding RNA of Octodon degus (degu), 331 nucleotides long. RefSeq lists it as uncharacterized. The record is from RefSeq and is a predicted model, not a curated record. NCBI's taxonomy places the organism in Eukaryota, Metazoa, Chordata, Mammalia, Rodentia, Octodontidae. The transcript is spliced from 2 exons.